UCUCGACACACCCUCCGAAACCUUCACCUUUUGUUUUCAGCACAUAUAAUUUUUAUGCCAAGUACGCAUUUUUAACGCAGCAGUUUUUAUUAUUAAUAUUAUUGUUAUCAUUAUCAUUAUUGUUGUUUUUUUACAGUUUCAGUUAAAACCGCUGUUAGGCUAAAUGAAUGUUUUAUUCUGAAAUUCGGCCCGGAAGUUCGUUCGCCCGUGGCAAAGCGAAAAUCAUCGGGGUCUUGGUAGAGAGGGCUGCCUUGCUAAGGUAUGUGCUACUGUGUUUGACUUGCAUGUGACUAGUAUGUUAGGUGUGUGUUUAAUGUGAACGGUGAUCUUAGGCACUGUUAAAAUCCGCUUCCGCGUUUUGCCGUCAGGUGGUUUGAGUUGGUUUCUUGUGCCUCUCGAACGUGAGCUGAGGUACGACACCCAGGUGUUGACGAGCUUUUUUGGCAACAAAUGUGCUAAUUAGCGGUCUAAGACUUGUCCUUGGUUGGUUACAAAGUCUUUCCUGCUUUUGUCUAACAAAAUGGUGUCUGUGUAACAGCAACGCCGGGCUCGGUCUCUUUCACGGGCGAGUUUUAUCCCGGUGUGCGGAACUGGGUGGUGCGUUUCAGCGAACGUCAUGUUAGACUUUUCACACCGGGACCUUUUUUUAAAUAUGGCUGUUCAAGUGCUUUGCCAGGAAGUAUACAUCUGGUAUCAUCAGCAAGGGCCAGAGAGAAACUGUUGGUGUAAGAGGGUACGCUGGGAAAGGAAGUCCAAUAACGCUUAGAUUUUACACACAUAACAAGAUUCCACAGAAUCCGUUUCUUUUAUUCCUACAUCUCCACCACCGUGGGAAACACCAAAGGACCUCGUGGAUAAGAUUGUAGCCUGGCACAAGGCUGGACUGGGCUACGAGACCAUCAGCAAGAAGCUUGUCAAUCACCUGAAGGAAGCUGGAGCCACAGUUAACAAAAACAUACCUGAUCAUGGAUCUCCUCAGCAGUUUGGAAAUCUACAUCCCUGCAGAGGCUGAGGUGAAAAACAUCCCUUUGUGGACCUUGCCAAAGUCUGUACUCAGAAGAAUGGGCCUCCCUCUCCUGAAUGCCUCCAGGAAUCUUGCAGACUCUCCAGAAGGCAUAUGGAUUUCUCCAGCAGUUAUACGGAAGAAAGGCCAGAGAUACACAGGAAGUGCAAUAGAUAACAUGACCUCAGUGCUGGGCAAAGAGUUGCGUGCUUCAAGGGGUCCUUUUCGAAUGUCUUUUGUUUCCUCGAACCAUGCAGCUCAUGAGGUGCUGAAGGGCACCGUUCCCAAGGCACCUCUAUGUCAAACCUCUCAAUUCCCUCCAGACUCUGCACCACGAACCGGUCGAGAUGCUGUCGUCAUCUACCGUGGGCAAGUUUACUUGUCCAUCAGGGUGCCUAGUCGUAGCCAUAGUCAGCGUGGGAAACAGACGACUUCCCAGCCUGUCACUCCUUCAACGUCCCACUUGUCUUCAAAGAAAAGGAAAAAGACGAUGCUAAGCGACAAUAAGCCCAAGAAAAAGCACAACAUAUGUGAAGUAAUGCAUACAGAAAACAAGAAGGAUGACGCACACAGGACAAGAGAUGUUCACUUUCUGCCAAAACCCAUUGAGAGUGAGUGUGAAGUUGGCAGCAAGUGUCCUGCAGAUUCUAGAGGAGAGCUGCUCUCAGAAGCCCCCCUGAAGACAGCUGGCUUUCAGCCUCACGGGGAGCCAGAGGAGGAUCUGACUGCCGAAGAAGCAGACGGCCCCCAUGAGAACAAUGACAGAAGUGGUAGUCUACAGAUGGACAUCAGGGAAGUUGACCAAAGUAGCAGGGGCAGGAUGGAUCCCCUGUGUGCAGCUGCCGCCUCCACAUCACUGCAGAUGGACUGUGACUUUAACGAGUUGGCACAAGAGGAGAAGAUCGCUCAAAUGAGAGCCAAACUUAGACAGAACGAAGCUGCUCUAAACCUGCUUUCUUAAAGUGACCUCACAUUUGUUAGCCUUUUUGUACCAAAUGUUUAGAAUAGACUUUUAUACAUUUGUCUUCUGUGAACACAUGCACAUUAAUAAAAAUGGUAUCGAUGGGCUUAUGUGUUUGGUGAUCCUUUUGUUUUAUUCGGGCGUCCAAAAACAAAGAGAUGUUGUACUAGUGUGGUGUUGUCUUCUCAUUAGGUGCAGUUUAUAGCAACGUCUUCAUUGUUUGGAUGUUUUUGAUGUGUUAGUUCUGGUCAAAAAAUCAUUUCCUUUUGAUAAAACCUUAAACCAUAACAGGGUAUGGGUUGAUUAGGUUAACCUGUAGUUUGAUAAGGUCCCAUUUACAAAGUCAACCACAUGGUUCUUUGUUAAAAUGCUUCUUUUUCCCAGAAUAUAUGAUGGGCUUUUUCCUGGUUCAGUAACUAAGACUUUUUUUUUUUUUUUUGUUAAAAUCAAGCAUCCCAAAUAUACCGUUUUGUUUUUAUGUUUAGUAUGGUAGUUUUCCUGAUCACCUUGAAACACCUCCACAGGUCAUGAGUGGGUCUUAUGUCUGUUGGAAGUGCUCCAAACCACAAACGGCAAAUAUGACUAAUCUUUGUGCAUAUGUGUUUCAUAAUGUGACUUUUAAUACUAAUUAGACCUGUGAAAAAUCAUUAUCAUUAUUAUUAUUAUUAUUAUUGUUUGGUGACCUAGUGCUGAAAUGGUUGUGGCAUGAUUGUUGUCCUUUCUACUCUGCCUUCUCACUCCAUAAAUUAUUUUUCAUACGCAAGUCUUGCACUCUGGGCCUGACAUUUCCCACUCUUCUGUCAGUGUGGAACAAGAAUGUCAGGACUUUGAAUUGUGACAUAGUGACUGUGCUCACACUCAUCUGUCUGCUCUGGUCCCUGAACGAUUCAAAAUGUUUAGCAUGAACUCAUCUAGGGUUAAAGGUUUUCAUUUCUCUGUGUUUGAAAUGCAUUUCUAUAGAUGUAUUUCUGUUUGGAAAAUAUGUUUGCAAUAAAAGCAUUCUGUACGGG
Molecule: long non-coding RNA, 2974 nt
Organism: Oreochromis aureus
Lineage: Eukaryota; Metazoa; Chordata; Actinopteri; Cichliformes; Cichlidae
Source: Ensembl